RNAcentral lists this long non-coding RNA (381 nucleotides) under Brassica rapa (field mustard). RNAcentral's name for it is "long non-coding RNA (BRAP_LNC004138)". Lineage: Eukaryota; Viridiplantae; Streptophyta; Magnoliopsida; Brassicales; Brassicaceae. The record is from RNAcentral.
GGACACAAAUCCACAUUUCCUCAGACCAAUAACGAGUGUCUUUCAGCAAUGAUAUGAACAAAGUGAAAGCAUCUGUAACCUGAAGAAGAAGAUGGAUGGAGGAAAUAUCAACUUGAAGUGGAAACCCAAUAGGUGAAAUUGGAUUACACUAAGUUUAAGAACGUUAUUACUAUCAGAGAAAGUGAGGGAGAUGUAAAAGUAACCAUUGUUCAUUGCGCUGGUUAAGACGCCCUAGUGUAGACUGUAGAGGGAUCAGAAUCGUCAUUCUCCUCCGCUGGCUCAAGAGCGCUCCACUUGAGGAGACUUUACUCGACACUUUUCUCCUCUCAGUUUAAAACAAUCGGACUGCAAAGCCAAAAUUUCCGGCGACGGGGAUUAAAG